RNAcentral lists this ribosomal RNA (398 nucleotides) under uncultured bacterium. RNAcentral describes it as "bacterial SSU rRNA". It matches the Rfam family "Bacterial small subunit ribosomal RNA", at positions 39 to 423 of the family's 1533-position model. The record is from RNAcentral.
CCGGCCGCGGGAAUUCGAUUCAGGCCUAACACAUGCAAGUCGAGCGGUAGAGAGAAGCUUGCUUCUCUUGAGAGCGACGAACGGGUGAGUAAUGCCUAGGAAUCUGCCUGGUAGUGGGGGAUAACGUUCGGAAACGAACGCUAAUACCGCAUACGUCCUACGGGAGAAAGCAGGGGACCUUCGGGCCUUGCGCUAUCAGAUGAGCCUAGGUCGGAUUAGCUAGUUGGUGAGGUAAUGGCUCACCAAGGCGCCGAUCCGUAACUGGUCUGAGAGGAUGAUCAGUCACACUGGAACUGAGACACGGUCCAGACUCCUACGGGAGGCAGCAGUGGGGAAUAUUGGACAAUGGGCGAAAGCCUGAUCCACCAAAGGCGCGUGUGUGAAGAAGGUCUUCGGAU